This 624-nucleotide long non-coding RNA is filed under the name Heterocephalus glaber (naked mole-rat). RNAcentral describes it as "lncRNA (ENSHGLG00000047807.1)". The record is from RNAcentral. Lineage: Eukaryota; Metazoa; Chordata; Mammalia; Rodentia; Bathyergidae.
GUGACUCUGCACACAAAGGCUGCUCAUUGUAGCCACGUCUGAAUGCCUGUGAAUAGGACGGAACAUAUGCAGCCUGUCACCGCAGGUGCCCACAUCUGUUCUUCCCCGGGCAGAUGCUCACAGAAAAGGGGAAAUGGGGAGGCCAGGGGAGGACAUCGCACUCGAAAGCCUCCACGGUCGCCUCGUCCUGGGAUCCUCGGGAGUGGCCUUGGAAGGCCGAGCCGCACGUUCGGAGGCGGAAAGUUCGGAGGGGGCUUCGAGCAGCUGCCGCGGUAAUCUGAUCCCGGGACAAAGGCGCGCCCGCCGGUGCUGCGGCCACAGCCGCCUGUCCCAUUAAAGAAGAAAAAAAUCUAUGACACACGUCAUAACCCUUCGGCACAGAACAAGUUCCGACCCUCGGCCCACGCACGGGUCCCAGGACGCGUCCGCAGGGAAGGCUGGUGGGGGACACUCCAGGCAUCUGUGGGACCACAGGCCCUGUGGAUGCGCUGCGCAGAGGGCAGAGGCGCUCUGGGUGUCGCUCACCUGUGCCUGCUGACCAGUAAGAGGGAAGCGCUUACCUACUAAACAUCAUCCUGGAGCCCUUCGGGUCCAGGUUAGAAAUAAAGGUCCAGAUAUAACCAC